GCACGAGGAUAUGGUCGUUAAGCACUGUGACGUCACCAAUAACGCUGUGUUGGGCAAGAAGGUCAGGAGCGGCCGGCGCCGCUUCAGUGUCGGGCUGACAGCCAGCAGACGUAGUUCCUUGGGAGGUGUCCCGCUUCUUACAUCAUUUGCAGCUAUACCGGUCAUCAGGGUCUGGCGCGACAUUGGCCAACAGUCUUCUUGAGAAAUAACUUUGUGAACGGAGGACUAGUCAGGCGCACAAGGCACGGAACUAGUUCUGACGUGACGUAGUUGCAAGUCUCGAUAAGAGGUGGUUGGACAGUGUUGAACACGGGGCGCCUGACAACGUUGCAGGAAUAUCUGAAAGAAAAGGCAAGUUGUUAAAACUUUCAGUUAAUAUUUAUAAUUUAGCAGGAAACUGUUGGAAAGGAUAUUCUGCAGAAUUAUAGAAAGAGCAUCUGUGGGACAUUAGAAACGACGCAGCACAGAAAAUGGAUGAAGACGGGUGGCUGUAGCAGUAAGAAGGCCGGUGAAGCGGACUGCAAAAUUGGGGAGCAAGAUGCAAAAUAAAGGAAAGUUGUAAAUCUGUGUAUUGUGUACUUUGAAACUGUUCUUAGAACUAUAGAACCUGUUCCCUCUGUUAUGUUUAAUAUCUGGUGUAUGGUGUUAUGACUAUUGUUCGGCUGGUUUUCUGUAGGUAUCAAUGUGGUUCCGAUAAAUGUUGUUCGUAUUGGAAUAAAUAUCCCUUAAUUAUAGACGUUAAUGUUUACAGCGGUUUGUGUAUUCUUUAACGGCUGGCUAUGCACAGUUUGUCUAAAAUGCCAUGUUUAUUGUUGUAACAUUGUCUAGGCCCAGUGUCUGUGACGGUGGCUAGAAUUUGAAGGUUUGUUAAUAAAGUUCUUAUUGGAUAUGAAGUGUAUGAACUACAUGUCCCAAAU
Molecule: non-coding RNA, 917 nt
Organism: Procambarus clarkii (red swamp crayfish)
Lineage: Eukaryota; Metazoa; Arthropoda; Malacostraca; Decapoda; Cambaridae
Source: RefSeq, a predicted model, not a curated record